RNAcentral lists this small nucleolar RNA (106 nucleotides) under Echinops telfairi (small Madagascar hedgehog). RNAcentral's name for it is "Small nucleolar RNA SNORA61 (ENSETEG00000025856.1)". Lineage: Eukaryota; Metazoa; Chordata; Mammalia; Afrosoricida; Tenrecidae. The record is from RNAcentral.
AACAUCCAGAUUCCUUAUCCAUCCAACUUAAAUACUGGUCUCAGUGGUUAUCAAAGGAGGAAGCAUAACAUUGAAACAGACUCAAAAUCUUUUGUGACUCAUAAGC